RNAcentral lists this long non-coding RNA (1236 nucleotides) under Manduca sexta (tobacco hornworm). Its description in RNAcentral is "uncharacterized LOC119190907". Lineage: Eukaryota; Metazoa; Arthropoda; Insecta; Lepidoptera; Sphingidae. The record is from RNAcentral.
UGAACGUGACGCAGUGCGUUACGUACUUGCUAGUCACUAUCCAAAUAUGUGUGGCAUAGUGAAUAGUAUAGAUCGCUUCGAAUAGGUCGAUUUAGAAAUGUUUGGGAGAGGCCCAUGUUCAGCAGUGGACAUCCUGCGGCUGAUGACGAUGAUGAUAUAGAAUAAAGCCUCAGGUUAGUAAAUGCAGGAAUAUUUAUUAAUUACACAGUUUUUUAUAUUUACUUUUUCAGAUGUGGAGCGUUUGCUUGAAAAACAAAGGCCUAUAAAGCUUCAAUGUGGUACUGACAAAAGAUACCUAUAUGAUGCUACAAUAGGUGAUACAACAACUUUCUUACAAACCCUGAAGGAAGCUACGAAAAGCUAUAAGGAACAUUGUAUUGUAUAUUAAAAUAACACUAUAAGCGAACAUUUGAAUUGCUAUACCGAGGAGUAUUUGGAUUAUCCAGGUAGAUCAGGCUGUCAAAAAUUGCUUAGCAAAAAUAGACUUUGUUUAAUGCAUAAUAAAGUUACCCUGAAAGGGUUGCCUGCAGCCGCUUAUCUGUUGACAGUCAAGUGACGUAUGAACGACGUAAGGCUAUUUUUUUUAAAGUAUAUCGGUAAUGGCGUCUAAUAAAAUUAGGUAUGAACAUUAGCUCGAAAUUAAUGUAUAUCGAUAAAGACUAACCCCUAUAAUCAUAAACUUUCUUAUCUAAGGACGGAGUAUUGUUGUGAUAACAAGUUUGUUUCUCAGACAGCUUGCUGUUUGUUCAGCUUUAUUUAUCUGACAGCCAACUAGAUUAAAUCACAAUCACAACCGCUUUACGUCUACGUACUGCGAAGGCUGGCAUGCCGUCAGCACUGAGAAACAGACUUAUCACAGCAAUGCUCCUUAGAUAAAUAAUGUCUAUGAAUUAGGGGGUAAAUGUAUGAGUUACAAAGUAGGUAAUGUAUUUCGAGUGUCUUCAUGUAUAUUCAUUUAGGGGUUGACUGCACCAAGGACAGUGUUCAAGACUAAGUAUGGUCUUAUCAAAAAAAGUAUUAUUAUUAGAGAACUUUAAUCAGUGAUUAAAUGAAUCAAAAUUUUGUAUUUUCCGCUUCAUUGGCUUAAUGGAAUGAAAGUACUGAUUGUUAUUGAUGAGUGUGAAAAUGAACAGGGUAAUAAAAUCAGUAUAUUCGCUAAUAUUGUAAUAGAACAAUGUUUGUAAGAAAAGUCAAAUGAUUAUGGUGCUAAUAAAUUGAUUUUUAUUUUUUUAUGUA